GACACGGUGGCCGAGCGGUUUAUGGCGUUUGAUUCGAAAUCACAUUCAUGCAAAUGAGCGCAGGUUCGAAUCCUGCCCAUGUCUCCA
RNAcentral lists this transfer RNA (87 nucleotides) under Formivibrio sp. RNAcentral describes it as "tRNA-Ser". It matches the Rfam family "tRNA". Rfam says of the family: Transfer RNA (tRNA) molecules are approximately 80 nucleotides in length. Their secondary structure includes four short double-helical elements and three loops (D, anti-codon, and T loops). Further hydrogen bonds mediate the characteristic L-shaped molecular structure. tRNAs have two regions of fundamental functional importance: the anti-codon, which is responsible for specific mRNA codon recognition, and the 3' end, to which the tRNAs corresponding amino acid is attached (by aminoacyl-tRNA synthetases). tRNAs cope with the degeneracy of the genetic code in two manners: having more than one tRNA (with a specific anti-codon) for a particular amino acid; and 'wobble' base-pairing, i.e. permitting non-standard base-pairing at the 3rd anti-codon position. The record is from RNAcentral. Lineage: Bacteria; Pseudomonadati; Pseudomonadota; Betaproteobacteria; Neisseriales; Chitinibacteraceae.